Molecule: ribosomal RNA, 497 nt
Filed under: uncultured bacterium
Lineage: Bacteria
Description: partial 16S ribosomal RNA
Rfam family: Bacterial small subunit ribosomal RNA
Source: RNAcentral
GAUGAACGCUGGCGGCGUGCCUAAUACAUGCAAGUCGAGCGAACAGACGAGGAGUUUGCUUCUCUGACGUUAGCGGCGGACGGGUGAGUAACACGUGGAUAACCUCCCUAUAAGACUGGGAUAACUUCGGGAAACCGGAGCUAAUACCGGACAAUAUAUUGAACCGCCUUGUUCAAUAGUGAAAGAUGUUUUUGCUGUCACUUAUAGAGGGAUCCGCGCCGGAUGAGCUAGUUGGUAAGGUAACCGCCUUCCAGGGCAACGAUGCGUGGCCGACCUGGGAGGGUGAUCGGCCACACUGGAGCUGAGACAGGGACCAGAGUCCUGCGGGAGGCAGCAGUAGGGAAUGUGAGGCAGUGGGCGAAAGCCUGACGGAGCGAGGCCGCGUGAGUGACAGAGGUGUUGGGAGCGUAAAACUGUGUUAUGAGGGAAGAACAAAUGUGUAAGUAAAUAUGCACGUCGUGACGGUACCUGAAGAGAAAGCGACGGCUAACUACGUG